GUCGAGCGGCAGCGGAAGUACCUUGCUACUUUGCCGGCGAGCGGCGGAGGGGUGAGUAGUGUCUGGGAAACUGCCUGAUGGAGGGGGAUAACUACUGGAAACGGUAGCUAAUACCGCAUAACGUCGCGAGACCAAAGGGGGGGACCUUCGGGCCUCGUGCCAUCAUAUGUGCCCAGAUGGGAUUAUCUAGUAGGUGGGGUAACGGCUCACCUAGGCGACUAUCCCUAUGUGGUCUGAGAGGAUGACCAGCCACAGUGGAACUGAGACACGGUCCACACUCCUACGGGAGGCAGCAGUGGGGAAUAUUGCACAGUGGGCRCAAGCCUGAUGCACCCGUGCCGCGUGUAUGAAGAAGGCCUUCGGGUUGUAAAGUACUUUCAGCGGGGAAGAAGGUGUUGGGGCUAAUAACCUCCGCUUUUGACUUUCCCCGCAAAAAAAGCACCGGCUAACUCCGUGCCAGCGGCCGCGGUUAUACAGAGGGUGCAAGCGUUAAUCAAAAUUACUGGGCGUAAAGCGCACGCGGGCGGUCUGUCAAGUCAGAUGUGAAAUCCCCGGGCUCCACCUGGGAACUGCUUUCAAAACUGGCAGGCUAGAGUCUUGUAGAGGGGGGUAGAAUUCCGGGUGUAGCGGUGAAAUGCAUAGAUAUCUGGAAGAAUACCGGUGGCGAACGCCGCCCUCUGGACAAACACUGACUCUCAUGUGCAAAAGCGUGGGGAGCAAACGGGAUUAUAUACUCUGAUACUCCACCCCAUAAAAKAUGUCSAUGUGGAGGUUGUGCCCUUGAGGUGUGUYUUCCAGAUGUAACGCUUUAACUCCACCGCCUGGRGAGUACCGCCCGCAGGGUUAAAACUCAAAUAAAUU
This 861-nucleotide ribosomal RNA is filed under the name Enterobacter ludwigii. RNAcentral's name for it is "bacterial SSU rRNA". It matches the Rfam family "Bacterial small subunit ribosomal RNA", at positions 61 to 911 of the family's 1533-position model. Lineage: Bacteria; Pseudomonadati; Pseudomonadota; Gammaproteobacteria; Enterobacterales; Enterobacteriaceae. The record is from RNAcentral.